CCUACGGGAGGCAGCAGUGGGGAAUAUUGCACAAUGGGGGAAACCCUGAUGCAGCGACGCCGCGUGAGUGAAGAAGUAUCUCGGUAUGUAAAGCCCUAUCAGCAGGGAAGAAAAUGACGGUACCUGAUUAAGAAGCCCCGGCUAACUACGUACCAGCAGCCGCGGUAAUACGUCGGGGGCAAGCGUUAUUCGGAUUUACUGGGUGUAAAGGGGGCGUAGACGGGAGCACAAGUCUGGAGUGAAAUGCCGGGGCUUAACCCAGGAACUGCUUUGGAAACUGUGCGGCUAGAGUGCAGGAGAGGUAAGUGGAAUGCGUGGUGUAGCGGUGAAAUGCGUAGAUAUUAGGAGGAACACCAGUGGCGAAGGCAGCUUACUGGACUGUAACUGACGUUGAGGCUCGAAAGCGUGGGGAGCGAACAGGAUUAGAUACCCGAGUAGUC
This 440-nucleotide ribosomal RNA is filed under the name uncultured bacterium. RNAcentral's name for it is "partial 16S ribosomal RNA". It matches the Rfam family "Bacterial small subunit ribosomal RNA", at positions 338 to 795 of the family's 1533-position model. The record is from RNAcentral.